GUGCUUGCUUCUGCAGCACAUAAUUUAAAGAAUUUGAACAAUGCAUGGAAGAUUGGCAUGGCCACUGUGCAUGGAAGACAUACAAAUUUGUGAAGUGUUCCAUAUUAAA
Canis lupus familiaris (dog) is the source of this 109-nucleotide non-coding RNA. NCBI's taxonomy places the organism in Eukaryota, Metazoa, Chordata, Mammalia, Carnivora, Canidae. The record is from Rfam.